GGCCAGGUAGCUCAGUUAGUUGAGCGUGGCGCUAACAACACCAAGGUCGCGGGUUCAAUUCCCAUUCGGUCCC
This 73-nucleotide transfer RNA is filed under the name Apaloderma vittatum (bar-tailed trogon). It matches the Rfam family "tRNA". From Rfam's summary of the family: Transfer RNA (tRNA) molecules are approximately 80 nucleotides in length. Their secondary structure includes four short double-helical elements and three loops (D, anti-codon, and T loops). Further hydrogen bonds mediate the characteristic L-shaped molecular structure. tRNAs have two regions of fundamental functional importance: the anti-codon, which is responsible for specific mRNA codon recognition, and the 3' end, to which the tRNAs corresponding amino acid is attached (by aminoacyl-tRNA synthetases). tRNAs cope with the degeneracy of the genetic code in two manners: having more than one tRNA (with a specific anti-codon) for a particular amino acid; and 'wobble' base-pairing, i.e. permitting non-standard base-pairing at the 3rd anti-codon position. The record is from Rfam by way of RNAcentral. Lineage: Eukaryota; Metazoa; Chordata; Aves; Trogoniformes; Trogonidae.